Silurus meridionalis is the source of this 2055-nucleotide RNA transcript. It is a transcript of the gene named zinc finger protein 239-like, with no coding region annotated. The transcript has 4 exons. NCBI's taxonomy places the organism in Eukaryota, Metazoa, Chordata, Actinopteri, Siluriformes, Siluridae. The record is from RefSeq and is a predicted model, not a curated record.
AGGAGAAAUCAAUCUACAUAGAAAAUAUUGCUCAACAAGUUAUUGGUCACUUUCUAAAUAAUCAAAGUAUAGUGCAUCUACUAAUAAUUAUAUAAUCAAUACAUUCGUUUUUACCGAUGCAAACGUGUUUAAAAUGAUGCAUUGUGAUACGAAUGCAUACUUGUAUAUCCGAUACACACUUUUUUAAAUCGAUGCAUUAUAUCGUUAACUGCACCGACGGGAAUCGUUUAAUCUUACCGUCUCUACUAGUAGGGCUGAAUAGUGUGAGUAGGAAGGUUGACGCAUGCGCAGUGGGACACAAAUUACAGCGCAUGCGUGGAAUAAUCUCCGGCGGGGAGUGGGUGUGCAGCGACGUUUUAGCGGCAGCUUUCUGGAUUGAUGUGAAGACUAAAGAUUGCCCACCUGUACACACCUGUGCAGAACUGUGGACUCCAAAAUGAAAGACGGCAUACUGCAAGCCUACUCCUGCUCCUUCUGUUCAAUAUCUUAUUCAAGUCAAAUUUACUUGGACAACCACGUAUGGAGAUUCCAUUAUGAGGAGUUUAAAAGAGGGCAGAAAUCGGGACAGGAGGAUGCCAAUGGUGAUCUGGAGGCCACAGGAAGGUCCACUAGUCAGCAAAUAUCUUCAUAUGGUUGCUCUCAUAGGCAGAAGCAGGACAAAGUUCAUCACUGCUCAGUGUGCAGAAAGAGCCACCAGGGCCUUCACACCGAAGACACAUCGUAUGACUUCUCAGAGUGUGGGAAGAGCUUUACAGGACCGUGUGCACACCAGCUUAUUCGCACAGGAGUGAAGUCACGUCAAUGUGAGCAGUAUGGAAAGACCUUUAAUCACACCGACCAUUUCCAGCGACACCAGCGCAUCCACACAGGAGAGAAACCCUUUCCCUGCUCAGAGUGCGGAAAGAGUUUUACUAAAAAGUGCCACCUGAAGCUGCACCAUCGCAUUCACACAGGAGAGAAACCAUUUCAGUGCUCAGACUGCGGGAAGAACUUUGCUAAUCAGGGUUCUCUUCAGCAGCACAAACGCAUUCACACUGGAGAGAAGCCUUAUCACUGCUCCUACUGUGGGAAGACUUUUAGUCAUCAGAGCUCCCUCAAAGAGCACCUGCGUAUCCACACGGGGGAGAAGCCCUACUGCUGCUCCGAGUGCGGGAAGAGCUUUACUCACCUGAAAGCGCUCCAGCAACACCAACACACACACACUGGGGAGAAACCGUUCCUCUGUAGACAGUGUGGGAAGAGCUUUAAAGAGCAGAGAACUCUCAGACGACACCAACGCAUCCACAGCGGAGAGAAGCCCUAUCACUGUCUUCAGUGUGGCAAGGCUUUAAAAUACCACAGCAGUCUGCAAAAACACCAAGCGGUCCACACCGGCCUGAAGCCUUAUUACUGCUUCCAGUGUGGAAAGACUUUCACUCAGCAGAGUGGCCUGCAGAGACACCAGCGCAUUCACACAGGAGAGAAGCCCUACCACUGCUCACUGUGUGGAAAGAGCUUCACUCAGGACAGCCAUCGCAAAAAACACCAGCGGCUUCACACGAGAGCGAGGUGCAAUUUCUCCACCAAGCUUCUGCCUCAAAAAUCUCCUAAUACAGAGAUGUGAAGCUCAGUCCUGUCAUGUUCAAAGACCAAAACUGAUCAUAGCACUUCAUCUACAAGGUCAGUCAAUGAGAAUUGAGCAAUAACCUAACAACCUCAUGAUAAGUAGGAUCCAGGCAGGAGCCAGGGCUCAUAGACUUCAAAAAGGAAUCUGCACUUCAGGGCGGGUUCUCCACAACUGUGGUGGUAAGAAAAGAAAAUGUGGGUGAGUAUAGUGUACUAGAGCUGCUUAUAAAGGUUAGUUCCAGCUGUAUGGAGAUCAUUCAAUCACUAUAGAAACUCACCUUGUAGAAGGACAUAUCAACACAUUCUAUUAGGUUCUGAUAUUUCCUGAUAUAAGUGAAGCUGCCUUACCACCAGGGGGAGGCAGAAUUCUUCUCAGACACUGUGUACCAUUUAUUCACACCUGUUUAUAAAUUUGUUCACUGUUAUUAAAUUAUCUGAAUUUAUAGUGAA